Molecule: ribosomal RNA, 465 nt
Filed under: Vreelandella stevensii
Lineage: Bacteria; Pseudomonadati; Pseudomonadota; Gammaproteobacteria; Oceanospirillales; Halomonadaceae
Description: partial 16S ribosomal RNA
Rfam family: Bacterial small subunit ribosomal RNA
Source: RNAcentral
CCUACGGGAGGCUGCAGUGGGGAAUAUUGGACAAUGGGGGGAACCCCGAUCCAGCCAUGCCGCGUGUGUGAAGAAGGCCCUCGGGUCGUAAAGCACUUUCAGUGAGGAAGAACGCCUGGUGGUUAAUACCCAUCAGGAAAGACAUCACUCACAGAAGAAGCACCGGCUAACUCCGUGCCAGCAGCCGCGGUAAUACGGAGGGUGCGAGCGUUAAUCGGAAUUACUGGGCGUAAAGCGCGCGUAGGUGGCUUGAUAAGCCGGUUGUGAAAGCCCCGGGCUCAACCUGGGAACGGCAUCCGGAACUGUCAAGCUAGAGUGCAGGAGAGGAAGGUAGAAUUCCCGGUGUAGCGGUGAAAUGCGUAGAGAUCGGGAGGAAUACCAGUGGCGAAGGCGGCCUUCUGGACUGACACUGACACUGAGGUGCGAAAGCGUGGGUAGCAAACAGGAUUAGAUACCCGGGUAGUC